Molecule: ribosomal RNA, 824 nt
Filed under: uncultured bacterium
Lineage: Bacteria
Description: bacterial SSU rRNA
Rfam family: Bacterial small subunit ribosomal RNA
Source: RNAcentral
CGAACGGUGAACACGGAGCUUGCUCUGUGGGAUCAGUGGCGAACGGGUGAGUAACACGUGAGCAACCUGCCCCUGACUCUGGGAUAAGCGCUGGAAACGGCGUCUAAUACUGGAUAUGUGACGUGACCGCAUGGUCUGCGUCUGGAAAGAAUUUCGGUUGGGGAUGGGCUCGCGGCCUAUCAGCUUGUUGGUGAGGUAAUGGCUCACCAAGGCGUCGACGGGUAGCCGGCCUGAGRGGGUGACCGGCCACACUGGGACUGAGACACGGCCCAGACUCCUACGGGAGGCAGCAGUGGGGAAUAUUGCACAAUGGGCGCAAGCCUGAUGCAGCAACGCCGCGUGAGGGACGACGGCCUUCGGGUUGUAAACCUCUUUUAGCAGGGAAGAAGCGAAAGUGACGGUACCUGCAGAAAAAGCGCCGGCUAACUACGUGCCAGCAGCCGCGGUAAUACGUAGGGCGCAAGCGUUAUCCGGAAUUAUUGGGCGUAAAGAGCUCGUAGGCGGUUUGUCGCGUCUGCUGUGAAAUCCGGAGGCUCAACCUCCGGCCUGCAGUGGGUACGGGCAGACUAGAGUGCGGUAGGGGAGAUUGGAAUUCCUGGUGUAGCGGUGGAAUGCGCAGAUAUCAGGAGGAACACCGAUGGCGAAGGCAGAUCUCUGGGCCGUAACUGACGCUGAGGAGCGAAAGGGUGGGGAGCAAACAGGCUUAGAUACCCUGGUAGUCCACCCCGUAAACGUUGGGAACUAGUUGUGGGGUCCAUUCCACGGAUUCCGUGACGCAGCUAACGCAUUAAGUUCCCCGCCUGGGGAGUACGGCCGCAAGGCUA